AUGUACUCGGUAUGGGUGCUGCUAUGGAUCUUAUACUCUAGUCUGCACAUCAGCAUGUUUCCCGAAUUAGAGGGAGAUCUGUCGCUAGGUCUGCGGCACGGCGAUACCCCGGCGCCAGAAAAGAGCCCUAGCGACAUGUUGAUGCUGAUCCGCACGGACAAAGGGUUGCAGAUCAACAUCCUCGCCAUGCUUAGUGCUGUGUUGAUCAGCAUCCAGGUGGUGCUGGGAUCUCGGCGUCGGCGCUCCCGCAACAAAAUCAUUGUGAACCUGGUGCGGGUCGCUUACACCGUCUCCUUCCCGGUGUUCGGCUACACCAUCGGCCUCAUCCAGUCCGUGGAGGAGCCCAAACAGCUUGAAAGCCAGCUGUUGUGGGCCGUCGGGCUAUUGCUCCUCAUCGGUAGCGUGGACGGCAUGUCGGCCUUCAGCCGGCAGGAGGUCGAGGAUAGCAAAGGAGUUCAGGCGCAGCACAUCAUCCAGACGGUUCUCGUGCUCUGGCUCCUCGUCAGCCGGAGCAACGUCUCCAAGGGCGGGGUGGUCUUGCUGCUCUACUUCCUCCUCUGCUGGGUGUAUAGCAUCUUGAGGGUCACCCAGAAGAUGAAGGCGCUGCGCAAGGCCAGCUCGAUGCACGGCCUUGUGCGCAGCGCCAAGGUGGUGGCUGACUACAUGCAGGAUGUGUAUGCCUCUGGCUCUGGUGAAAGGAAUCAUAUCCCCAUGGACGACAUGGCUAAGUGCAAGUAUCUUGUCCUCGGCGAGGAAAAAGACUCCAGCCCACCGUCCAAGGGGCCCUGCUACCUCUCAGAGGUGGGCGGCAAGGGCAAGCUCAUCACGUUCGACAUGAUUUGGAACAGCAAGGACAAGCUGCUGCUGAGUCCUACUCAUGACGACGACCAGAAGCCUGUGCCUCUCAAAGAUACGUGUCUUUCCUUCGCCUUGUUCAAGUUGCUCAGCCGGCGCUUCUGCCCGGGGCUCCCCAUCGCCGAGGAGGGUAACCUGGAGGCGCUGAAAUUCGUCCUCGCCAAGGACAAGCAUGCCUUCCAUCUCGUGGAGGUCGAGUUGUCGUUCCUGUACGACUUCUUCUACACCAAGUACCCGGCGCUGUUCCCCGCCGCCCCAGCUGCGCUCCGCGUUCUCCGUUUCGUCGUCCUUCUUGGCUUGUUCAAGGUGCUCCUCGUGGAUUUUAUUUACGACGGCAUCACAUAUUACUCCAAUGUCCCCGCGGACUUGCUUGAGAAUAACACGGGGUACUCCUCCAGUCAUGCGGUUUUCUUCACCCUCUUCAACAACGUUCUCGUCGUCUUCAUGAUCCUUAGCAUCGACAUCCUGCAAGACGUUGCCACGGGUUACUCAAACUGGGCCAUUGUACACUACGUGUGCGACUACGUCUACAUGAGAAGGAGGACAGACGGCGACGGCAGCAAGGGUUGGUGGAUGAUGGUGAAGCGGUGGUGGAACCGGGGCUUCGGCAUUCGUCGAAUGCUCAUUAAAUGGGUGGCGGCACGCCGGGCAAAGAACCCGUCGCACUGGUGGGAUAACAAGCUCGGCCAGUACUCGCUUCUCAACUCCUGCAGCUACACCGCGCACAAGACGAAUGCCUUCUCCCUGUUGACCCUACGCCUGCUGGAGAAGACAGGAGAAGGCCGGAAGCGCGACAAGGAUGUUGCCCUGACGGACGAAAUCAAGGAGGAGGUUCUUAGCUCCCUCAGGAAAAGUGGUGGCCGGCUGUCGGUCGACCGUUUAGGCGAUCUGAGGAACAAGGUGUUGCAGCUGGACUGGGUGCUGUUCGACCUCUCGAGCAGCACACACAUGGUCCUCGUGUGGCACAUUGCCACCACCAUAUGCGCCAACCAGGAACAACAGGACCAGGGCACCGACCAGCUCCCCAGUAGCCGCCGUGUUGCAACCACACUGUCCAGCUACUGUGCCUACCUGCUUGCUUUCGUCCCGGACAUGUUGCCCGACCACAGCUACACGGCCACGCAGAUCCUGGACGCCGUCAUUCUAGAUGCCCGAGAGCAUCUCGGUACAAUCAAAACAUUGUCGGGCAGAUGUGAAAAGAUGUUACAAUUGGGAAAGCCGGACAGCAGCAGCAACAUACCAGUGCAGCAAGACAUGUCCAUCUUGAUCCUUGGAGCCAGCCUGGCAGACAAGCUCUUGUCGGAGAACAAGCGGCCGCCGUGGAAGCUGCUCGCGGGCUUCUGGGCCGACCUGGUGCUCUUCCUGGCGCCGUCCGACAAGGCCGACGUCCAUGCCGACCACCUAGCCUCCGGCGGCGAGUUCAUGACCCACCUUUGGGCGCUGCUCACGCACGCGGGCAUUGUUCACCGUCCAGACAUCCCUGCUGCAUCAAUUCCUUGA
RNAcentral lists this ribosomal RNA (2355 nucleotides) under Triticum aestivum (bread wheat). RNAcentral describes it as "partial small subunit ribosomal RNA". Lineage: Eukaryota; Viridiplantae; Streptophyta; Magnoliopsida; Poales; Poaceae. The record is from RNAcentral.